CUAACACAUGCAAGUCGAGCGGAUGACGGGAGCUUGCUCCUUGAUUCAGCGGCGGACGGGUGAGUAAUGCCUAGGAAUCUGCCUGGUAGUGGGGGACAACGUUUCGAAAGGAACGCUAAUACCGCAUACGUCCUACGGGAGAAAGCAGGGGACCUUCGGGCCGGGCGCUAUCAGAUGAGCCUAGGUCGGAUUAGCUAGUUGGUGGGGUAAUGGCUCACCAAGGCGACGAUCCGUAACUGGUCUGAGAGGAUGAUCAGUCACACUGGAACUGAGACACGGUCCAGACUCCUACGGGAGGCAGCAGUGGGGAAUAUUGGACAAUGGGCGAAAGCCUGAUCCAGCCAUGCCGCGUGUGUGAAGAAGGUCUUCGGAUUGUAAAGCACUUUAAGUUGGGAGGAAGGGCAGUAAGUUAAUACCUUGCUGUUUUGACGUUACCGACAGAAUAAGCACCGGCUAACUCGGUGCCAGCAGCCGCGGUAAUACAGAGGGUGCAAGCGUUAAUCGGAAUUACUGGGCGUAAAGCGCGCGUAGGUGGUUUGUUAAGUUGGAUGUGAAAGCCCCGGGCUCAACCUGGGAACUGCAUCCAAAACUGGCAAGCUAGAGUACGGUAGAGGGUGGUGGAAUUUCCUGUGUAGCGGUGAAAUGCGUAGAUAUAGGAAGGAA
Molecule: ribosomal RNA, 663 nt
Filed under: uncultured Pseudomonas sp.
Lineage: Bacteria; Pseudomonadati; Pseudomonadota; Gammaproteobacteria; Pseudomonadales; Pseudomonadaceae
Description: bacterial SSU rRNA
Rfam family: Bacterial small subunit ribosomal RNA
Source: RNAcentral